GGACGAACGCUGGCGGCGUGCCUAAUACAUGCAAGUUGAGCGAUGAAGAUUGGUUCUUGCACCAAUUUGAAGAGCAGCGAACGGGUGAGUAACGCGUGGGGAAUCUGCCUUUGAGCGGGGGACAACAUUUGGAAACGAAUGCUAAUACCGCAUAACAACUUUAAACAUAAGUUUUAAGUUUGAAAGAUGCAAUUGCAUCACUCAAAGAUGAUCCCGCGUUGUAUUAGCUAGUUGGUGAGGUAAAGGCUCACCAAGGCGAUGAUACAUAGCCGACCUGAGAGGGUGAGCGGCCACAUUGGGACGGAGACACGGCCCAAACUCCUACGGGAGGCAGCAGGAGGGAAUCUUCGGCAAUGGACGAAAGUCUGACCGAGCAACGCCGCGUGAGUGAAGAAGGUUGUCGGAUCGUAAGACUCAGUUGGUAGAGAAGAACGUUGGUGAGAGUGGAAAGCUCAUCAAGUGACGGUAACUACCCAGAAAGGGACGGCUAACUACGUG
This 498-nucleotide ribosomal RNA is filed under the name uncultured bacterium. RNAcentral's name for it is "partial 16S ribosomal RNA". It matches the Rfam family "Bacterial small subunit ribosomal RNA", at positions 27 to 507 of the family's 1533-position model. The record is from RNAcentral.